This 481-nucleotide long non-coding RNA is filed under the name Nicotiana benthamiana. RNAcentral describes it as "long non-coding RNA (NBEN_LNC002298)". The record is from RNAcentral. Lineage: Eukaryota; Viridiplantae; Streptophyta; Magnoliopsida; Solanales; Solanaceae.
GUAUGCUUAAAUGUAAUAAACACAAACCUUAAACAUGAGAGGUAAUAAGGUUUGCAAUAUGGUAUAUACAUAGGUAAAAAUCCCAAAGAAAAAAUUGAAACUUCACAAAAUUUAGCUGGGCCCUUUGGUCAUGAUCCAAACAAAUUGAAUAAACAUACCAAAAAUGGAUAAUCACAACAUUAACGAAGAACACCGUUCGAGCUCAUUUGAGUAAAGCAAGCAGCAACAUUCUAAUUUCAAUUUAACCUUAUCCACAUUAUGAACACAUGGCAAGCUUUGUUUGUAACCCAUCAAUCAACAUUGAGACCCAGACCAUCCACUUACUACUCAACAUAUAUUAAUCCAAAAAUAAAAUGCUAAGCAAAACUUUUGUAAGGAACAGCAAAUCGACAAAAUUUUCGUGAUUAAAUCAUAAGUUUGAAAAUCAGUAUCAACGUGAACAAAGUCGAAUGAAAGUUUUUAAAAAAAAAUAAUUCUCCAC